Molecule: ribosomal RNA, 367 nt
Filed under: Vibrio parahaemolyticus
Lineage: Bacteria; Pseudomonadati; Pseudomonadota; Gammaproteobacteria; Vibrionales; Vibrionaceae
Description: bacterial SSU rRNA
Rfam family: Bacterial small subunit ribosomal RNA
Source: RNAcentral
CUUCGGGGGACGAUAACGGCGUCGAGCGGCGGACGGGUGAGUAAUGCCUAGGAAAUUGCCCUGAUGUGGGGGAUAACCAUUGGAAACGAUGGCUAAUACCGCAUGAUGCCUACGGGCCAAAGAGGGGGACCUUCGGGCCUCUCGCGUCAGGAUAUGCCUAGGUGGGAUUAGCUAGUUGGUGAGGUAAGGGCUCACCAAGGCGACGAUCCCUAGCUGGUCUGAGAGGAUGAUCAGCCACACUGGAACUGAGACACGGUCCAGACUCCUACGGGAGGCAGCAGUGGGGAAUAUUGCACAAUGGGCGCAAGCCUGAUGCAGCCAUGCCGCGUGUGUGAAGAAGGCCUUCGGGUUGUAAAGCACUUUCAGU